Long non-coding RNA from Molossus molossus (Pallas's mastiff bat), 576 nucleotides. RefSeq lists it as uncharacterized. NCBI's taxonomy places the organism in Eukaryota, Metazoa, Chordata, Mammalia, Chiroptera, Molossidae. The record is from RefSeq and is a predicted model, not a curated record. The transcript has 5 exons.
UUCAGUGGUGUUUUAUUCUGAACUAUCUCCUGACUAUAUAAUUUACUGAAGUCUGAAGAAUGAAAGAGCUUGGAGAUUCAAUACCAGUCCUAAUCAUGAUAGACCUGGUCUCCAGGGUGGACACUGAAGAGGACCCCUUGAGUUGUUUCCCAUUUUGGAUUGUGUUCUACACCUGCAUCCAAGAAGAUUGCACAUAUCAUGUCCUUGGUUCAUGGAUAUAGAUCUUACUAGGACUCAUGACCAAUCAUGAUAGGGAUAAGAGUACUGGUGAUGACAAUAAAAAAGACAGAAGAUAAAUCUCAACAUUGGUGAAUAAGGGGCAGCGUCCCAGGGGACCAGGAGAUGCUUUUCUCACUUAAUGCAUCAGCUCGGCGAUCCCAAUUGAACCCCUUGGUGUCGAGGGGGCAAGGUGCUUUCUUCUUCACUCAUGAGCAGGUAGAAGAGUGCAGCCCACAUACACCGGUAGAAGUGGAUAAAGUCUCUCUUGUGUCACAGAAUCUUGCUGAACAGCACUCAUCUCAAAUCCCGUCACCCCUUACCGUGUAUGUGAUUGUUUCCUCUGUGUCCUGUGACUUG